GAUCGAUUCCCGCGCGCAACAACUUUUUGCCUUUUUUUUGGUUUUCUAAACUUGAACGAAAACCCUAACAUUUCCUCAUUACAAUUUCGCCUACUUCCUCCACCCUGACUCAGUGAGUCACAAGUCCCAAAACCUCCUCCUGAUCUCCUCCCUUCCUCCGCAGGCUGCUAGGCUCUGGUCAUCACCUCAUUGGCAGCCACUCACCAAGACUCCAGACUCCACUCUCCAUCCCUCAGUGCCGCUCGGAACAGAGUGACAAAGUCAGGAUCAUGUCUCGUCGAUCUUUAUGGAAAGGAUCUUUUGUUGACGCAUUCUUGAUGAAACUGAAAGAUAACAAAGAUCAACUUGCGAACAAAAAGAUUUGGUCGAGAAGAUCUACUAUCCUGCCAGAAUUUGUUGGUAGUGUUGUUCGAAUUUACAAUGGAAAGUCUUUUGUUCGCUGCAAGAUAACUGAAGGAAAGGUUGGCCACAAACUUGGGGAGUUUGCGUUUACGCGUAAAAGAAACCCUCACAACAUAAAGGGCGAUACUGGAUCAAAGAACAAGGGCAAUACUGGAUCAAAGAAAAAGGGCCGUUGAGCUUGAACAGCAUCUGACUCCCUUUUAUUCCUAUGAAGUAUUACCCUCCCGCUUUCUUCUGGAACUAGCUUUUACGCCAUAUGCUGUUAGCAUUAAGGUAUUUGCGUAGGUUGAGAUACAAGAAUUUCAUUUUCGUUGCUUGAUUACCAUUGUUGAAUGUGAAAUCUAUAUUGCAUUUCAAAUACUGUGUUUGGCAAGUGCUAGAAUUUAUUUUUUGGAUUUUGAGAUGUGGAAUGAAUAAUUGAAUCCCACCAUGAAAAUACCAUUGAUUUCUAUUCA
This is a long non-coding RNA of Amaranthus tricolor (Joseph's coat), 857 nucleotides long. RefSeq lists it as uncharacterized. The transcript is spliced from 2 exons. NCBI's taxonomy places the organism in Eukaryota, Viridiplantae, Streptophyta, Magnoliopsida, Caryophyllales, Amaranthaceae. The record is from RefSeq and is a predicted model, not a curated record.